RNAcentral lists this ribosomal RNA (451 nucleotides) under uncultured bacterium. RNAcentral describes it as "partial 16S ribosomal RNA". It matches the Rfam family "Bacterial small subunit ribosomal RNA", at positions 29 to 523 of the family's 1533-position model. The record is from RNAcentral.
AACGAACGCUGGCGGCAGGCCUAAUACAUGCAAGUCGAACGGAUGUAGCAAUACAUUAGUGGCGCACGGGUGCGUAACACGUGGGAACAUACCCCUUGGUAAGGAAUAAUAUCUGGAAACGGAUACUCAUACCUUAUAAUAUCUUCGGAUCAAAGAUUUAUCGCCAAGGGAUUGGCCCGCGUCUGAUUAGCUAGUUGGUGAGGUAACGGCUCACCAAGGCGACGAUCAGUAGCUGGUCUGAGAGGAUGAUCAGCCACACUGGGACUGAGACACGGCCCAGACUCCUACGGGAGGCAGCAGUAAGGAAUAUUGGACAAUGGGCGAAAGCCUGAUCCAGCCAUGCCGCGUGAGUGAAGAAGGCCUUAGGGUUGUAAAGCUCUUUCAAUGGUGAAGAUAAUGACGGUGACCAUAGAAGAAGCCCCGGCUAAAUUCGUGCCAGCCGCCGCCGUAA